UCAACCCUCAAGCAUUGCUUGGUGUUGGGCGGGGUCAUAGGGGGACCCUCCCGCAAUUCGUAGGCAGUCAUCGCCCAUGCUCCAGCGUAGCAGGCUUUACGCACUCGUUCGGGCAUCGGCGAGAGUCCGCCCAAAUCCAAACUUCAAG
This 148-nucleotide unclassified non-coding RNA is filed under the name uncultured Ascomycota. RNAcentral's name for it is "sequence contains ITS2". The record is from RNAcentral. Lineage: Eukaryota; Fungi; Ascomycota.